GCGGCAGGCUUAACACAUGCAAGUCGAACGCUGUAGCAAUACAGAGUGGCAGACGGGUGAGUAACGCGUGGGAACGUGCCUUUCGGUUCGGAAUAACUCAGGGAAACUUGAGCUAAUACCGGAUACGCCCUUCGGGGGAAAGAUUUAUUGCCGAAAGAUCGGCCCGCGUCCGAUUAGCUAGUUGGUGAGGUAACGGCUCACCAAGGCGACGAUCGGUAGCUGGUCUGAGAGGAUGAUCAGCCACACUGGGACUGAGACACGGCCCAGACUCCUACGGGAGGCAGCAGUGGGGAAUAUUGGACAAUGGGCGCAAGCCUGAUCCAGCCAUGCCGCGUGAGUGAUGAAGGCCCUAGGGUUGUAAAGCUCUUUCGCCAGGGACGAUAAUGACGGUACCUGGAUAAGAAGCCCCGGCUAACUUCGUGCCA
RNAcentral lists this ribosomal RNA (425 nucleotides) under uncultured Methylosinus sp. Its description in RNAcentral is "bacterial SSU rRNA". It matches the Rfam family "Bacterial small subunit ribosomal RNA", at positions 39 to 510 of the family's 1533-position model. The record is from RNAcentral. Lineage: Bacteria; Pseudomonadati; Pseudomonadota; Alphaproteobacteria; Hyphomicrobiales; Methylocystaceae.